CGGGGUGUAGCGCAGUUGGUAGCGCGUCUGGUUUGGGACCAGAAUGUCGGGAGUUCGAGUCUCUUCACUCCGACCA
This 76-nucleotide transfer RNA is filed under the name Clostridia bacterium. Its description in RNAcentral is "tRNA-Pro". It matches the Rfam family "tRNA". Rfam says of the family: Transfer RNA (tRNA) molecules are approximately 80 nucleotides in length. Their secondary structure includes four short double-helical elements and three loops (D, anti-codon, and T loops). Further hydrogen bonds mediate the characteristic L-shaped molecular structure. tRNAs have two regions of fundamental functional importance: the anti-codon, which is responsible for specific mRNA codon recognition, and the 3' end, to which the tRNAs corresponding amino acid is attached (by aminoacyl-tRNA synthetases). tRNAs cope with the degeneracy of the genetic code in two manners: having more than one tRNA (with a specific anti-codon) for a particular amino acid; and 'wobble' base-pairing, i.e. permitting non-standard base-pairing at the 3rd anti-codon position. Lineage: Bacteria; Bacillati; Bacillota; Clostridia. RNAcentral also lists the same sequence under 1 other name. The record is from RNAcentral.